Molecule: ribosomal RNA, 999 nt
Filed under: Ureibacillus sp.
Lineage: Bacteria; Bacillati; Bacillota; Bacilli; Caryophanales; Caryophanaceae
Description: bacterial SSU rRNA
Rfam family: Bacterial small subunit ribosomal RNA
Source: RNAcentral
UUGGUUAGCGGCGGACGGGUGAGUAACACGUGGGUAACCUGCCCUAUAGACCGGGAUAACUCGCGGAAACGCGUGCUAAUACCGGAUAACACACCGAAGCGCAUGCUUCGGGGUUGAAAGAUGGUUCUGCUAUCACUAUAGGAUGGGCCCGCGGCGCAUUAGCUAGUUGGUGGGGUAACGGCCUACCAAGGCGACGAUGCGUAGCCGACCUGAGAGGGUGAUCGGCCACACUGGGACUGAGACACGGCCCAGACUCCUACGGGAGGCAGCAGUAGGGAAUCUUCCACAAUGGGCGAAAGCCUGAUGGAGCAACGCCGCGUGAGCGAAGAAGGUCUUCGGAUCGUAAAGCUCUGUUGUAAGGGAAGAACAAGCGCAGCAGUCACUGGCUGCGCCCUGACGGUACCUUACUAGAAAGCCACGGCUAACUACGUGCCAGCAGCCGCGGUAAUACGUAGGUGGCAAGCGUUGUCCGGAAUUAUUGGGCGUAAAGCGCGCGCAGGCGGUCUCUUAAGUCUGAUGUGAAAGCCCCCGGCUCAACCGGGGAGGGUCAUUGGAAACUGGGAGACUUGAGUGCAGGAGAGGGAAGUGGAAUUCCAUGUGUAGCGGUGAAAUGCGUAGAGAUAUGGAGGAACACCAGUGGCGAAGGCGGCUUCCUGGCCUGUAACUGACGCUGAGGCGCGAAAGCGUGGGGAGCAAACAGGAUUAGAUACCCUGGUAGUCCACGCCGUAAACGAUGAGUGCUAGGUGUUAAGGGGGUUUCCGCCCCUUAGUGCUGCAGCUAACGCAUUAAGCACUCCGCCUGGGGGAGUACGGUCGCAAGACUGAAACUCAAAGGAAUUGACGGGGGCCCGCACAAGCGGUGGAACAUGUGGUUUAAUUCGAAGCAACGCGAAGAACCUUACCAGGUCUUGACAUCCCGCUGACCGCCAUGGAGACAUGGCCUUCCCUUCGGGGACAGCGGUGACAAGUGGGUGCAUGGGUUGUCGUCAGCUCGUGUCG